This 311-nucleotide ribosomal RNA is filed under the name uncultured Pelagibacterales bacterium. RNAcentral describes it as "SSU rRNA". It matches the Rfam family "Bacterial small subunit ribosomal RNA", at positions 29 to 367 of the family's 1533-position model. The record is from RNAcentral. Lineage: Bacteria; Pseudomonadati; Pseudomonadota; Alphaproteobacteria; Candidatus Pelagibacterales.
ACGAACGCUGGCGGCAGGCCUAACACAUGCAAGUCGAGCGCUACCUUCGGGUGGAGCGGCGGACGGGUGAGUAACAUGUAGGUAUCUGCCCUUUGGCCUGGAAUAACACGAGGAAACUUGUGCUAAUACCGGAUAAGUCUUUACGGAGAAAGCUUUAUGCACCAUUGGAUGAGCCCGCACUUGAUUAGUUUGUUGGUAGGGUAAUGGCCUACCAAGACUAUGAUCAAUAGCUGAUUUGAGAGGAUGAUCAGCCACAUUGGGACUGAGACACGGCCCAAACUCCUACGGGAGGCAGCAGUGGGGAAUCUUGC